Molecule: ribosomal RNA, 253 nt
Filed under: uncultured bacterium
Lineage: Bacteria
Description: partial 16S ribosomal RNA
Rfam family: Bacterial small subunit ribosomal RNA
Source: RNAcentral
UACGGAGGGUGCGAGCGUUGUUCGGAAUCACUGGGCGUAAAGGGCGUGUAGGCGGCCCGCUAAGUCUGAUGUGAAAGCCCGGGGCUCACCCCCGGAAGUGCAUUGGAAACUGGCGGACUCGAGUCCCGGAGAGGAGAGUGGAAUUCCUGGUGUAGCGGUGAAAUGCGUAGAUAUCAGGAGGAACACCGGUGGCGAAGGCGCACAUCUGGCCCGAUACUGACGCUGAGGCGCGAAAGCGUGGGUAGCAAACAGG